CGGCGGACGGGUGAGUAAUGUCUGGGAAACUGCCCGAUGGAGGGGGAUAACUACUGGAAACGGUAGCUAAUACCGCAUAACGUCGCAAGACCAAAGAGGGGGACCUUCGGGCCUCUUGCCAUCGGAUGUGCCCAGAUGGGAUUAGCUAGUAGGUGGGGUAACGGCUCACCUAGGCGACGAUCCCUAGCUGGUCUGAGAGGAUGGCCAGCCACACUGGAACUGAGACACGGUCCAG
This 235-nucleotide ribosomal RNA is filed under the name uncultured bacterium. Its description in RNAcentral is "partial 16S ribosomal RNA". It matches the Rfam family "Bacterial small subunit ribosomal RNA", at positions 96 to 334 of the family's 1533-position model. The record is from RNAcentral.